GGAUCCUCCAAAUCAAAGAUCAAUAAGUCAUUCUCCUGUAAGCCGCGGUCUAUGACGAAGUCAAACCAUUCACACCCAAAUUUUUCUCAGCAUUCCUCCUGUCAGCAGUCCUAACCUUGAAAUUAUAUGUCUUAUGUGUCUCCACAUCUUCCAAAGUCAUCCUUAGAUAUUUCCUCUUCAAGACCCUUUUGGAUAUUUGAUUAGGAAAAUGCUACAUAAAAUCAAAAAUCAAA
This 233-nucleotide long non-coding RNA is filed under the name Medicago truncatula (barrel medic). Its description in RNAcentral is "long non-coding RNA (MTRU_LNC000533)". Lineage: Eukaryota; Viridiplantae; Streptophyta; Magnoliopsida; Fabales; Fabaceae. The record is from RNAcentral.